ACAUGAAAAUGAAGAUGCUCAAAAUGAAAAUAAAGGCAUUGGAGGAAGAGAGGGACUUCCUCCGAACAACUAUUACCCAGCUGACUGGACAAAGAACUUCUUCAGGACCAAGUCCUAGCUCAUCUGUGGGUGACAACAUUGCCAAGCUUGAGGAUCAGUGGGAUGACAGCUCUGAUUCUUCGAGCUCUGAUAGCUCUUCAUCCACAGACAGCGAAAUAGA
Long non-coding RNA from Esox lucius (northern pike), 220 nucleotides. RefSeq lists it as uncharacterized. The transcript has 3 exons. The record is from RefSeq and is a predicted model, not a curated record. Lineage: Eukaryota; Metazoa; Chordata; Actinopteri; Esociformes; Esocidae.